UCAUGCUCAGAUUGAACGCUGGCGGCAUGCCUUACACAUGCAAGUCGAACGGCAGCACGGGUGCUUGCACCUGGUGGCGAGUGGCGAACGGGUGAGUAAUACAUCGGAACAUGUCCUGUAGUGGGGGAUAGCCCGGCGAAAGCCGGAUUAAUACCGCAUACGAUCUAUGGAUGAAAGCGGGGGACUUCGGGCCUCGCGCUAUAGGGUUGGCCGAUGGCUGAUUAGCUAGUUGGUGGGGUAAAGGCCUACCAAGGCGACGAUCAGUAGCUGGUCUGAGAGGACGACCAGCCACACUGGGACUGAGACACGGCCCAGACUCCUACGGGAGGCAGCAGUGGGGAAUUUUGGACAAUGGGCGAAAGCCUGAUCCAGCAAUGCCGCGUGUGUGAAGAAGGCCUUCGGGUUGUAAAGCACUUUUGUCCGGAAAGAAAUCCUUGGCUCUAAUACAGUCGGGGGAUGACGGUACCGGAAGAAUAAGCACCGGCUAACUACGUGCCAGCAGCCGCGGUAAUACGUAGGGUGCAAGCGUUAAUCGGAAUUACUGGGCGUAAAGCGUGCGCAGGCGGUUUGCUAAGACCGAUGUGAAAUCCCCGGGCUCAACCUGGGAACUGCAUUGGUGACUGGCAGGCUAGAGUAUGGCAGAGGGGGGUAGAAUUCCACGUGUAGCAGUGAAAUGCGUAGAGAUGUGGAGGAAUACCGAUGGCGAAGGCAGCCCCCUGGGCCAAUACUGACGCUCAUGCACGAAAGCGUGGGGAGCAAACAGGAUUAGAUACCCUGGUAGUCCACGCCCUAAACGAUGUCAACUAGUUGUUGGGGAUUCAUUUCCUUAGUAACGUAGCUAACGCGUGAAGUUGACCGCCUGGGGAGUACGGUCGCAAGAUUAAAACUCAAAGGAAUUGACGGGGACCCGCACAAGCGUUGGAUGAUGUGGAUUAAUUCGAUGCAACGCGAAAAACCUUACCUACCCUUGACAUGGUCGGAAUCCUGAAGAGAUUCGGGAGUGCUCGAAAGAGAACCGGCGCACAGGUGCUGCAUGGCUGUCGUCAGCUCGUGUCGUGAGAUG
RNAcentral lists this ribosomal RNA (1063 nucleotides) under Burkholderia sp. RNAcentral's name for it is "bacterial SSU rRNA". It matches the Rfam family "Bacterial small subunit ribosomal RNA", at positions 18 to 1074 of the family's 1533-position model. The record is from RNAcentral. Lineage: Bacteria; Pseudomonadati; Pseudomonadota; Betaproteobacteria; Burkholderiales; Burkholderiaceae.